Molecule: long non-coding RNA, 1281 nt
Organism: Centrocercus urophasianus (Greater sage-grouse)
Lineage: Eukaryota; Metazoa; Chordata; Aves; Galliformes; Phasianidae
Exons: 5
Source: RefSeq, a predicted model, not a curated record
UUGCCAUCCUCUUCUAAUUUCUGUUCUCUGUCCAUCAAUAAAACAUGAGCCAUUUAUCUGAAAAAAGAAAGAAGUGUUGCACAAUUGUAUCUAAACUGUCGUGUGGGAAUACUUAUCUGCAGUAGCUCACCUCCCAGAAUGGUCCUUUGCCUCCUUUCUCAUUCAUCUCACAAGCCUUAUGAGCGCGGGAGAUCCCUUCCAUCUACUCCGUGCAGCUGUAGAUAUAGCAAGCUUUCAGAAGCCUCUGAAAAAUUCUCCAUACAGAAGAUGUUGACAAGGAUCUGCACUGCAUAGAGUAUGUGUAAACAGUGAUGCAAACAGCUGUUGUUACUAGAUAUGGUGAAUUCACAUAAAGAAGCUGGACAUUUGCAAUUUUUUCUAUUCAUAGAGAUUUUCAAUCUGGGAAACAUGUAGGACUGUGGAAUUGUGGCUGACACUUCUCUUGGAUUCACUUCGACAUAUCACAAGAUACAAAGCAGCUAUUUGUGACAUCUGUUGGUGAGGGCAGAGCUGAUUAACUGCAAGGCUGGCUACACUGAUGGCAUCAGUCAACAGGCUGUUUUUAAAUGCAGUUGAUGUUUCUCCUCUCUUCCCACCAUCUCAUUUUCAAGAGGAAGGAAGUGUUUUUGGAGGAGCUGAUAUAUUCAAAUCCAGCAGUGAGAUUUCAUUCUGAACGUGGUCUUUUUUCUUGAUGUUCUUUUAUUGUUAAUCUUAAAAUUUUAAUGAGAAGAAAUUUUUUGUUACAGUGAUUACAAAUUAAGUGGGACAAGAUGUACGUCUAUGCCAAUCUCACACAGAGUUGUGUUCUGCAGCUUGAUGAGCUUAUGAGGCUGUGUUUAAUGGGCUCUGCUUUCAAUUCACAUGUUCAAGGCGCAGCUUCUAAAUACUAAUCAAGCAUCUCUGAUGGCCCACAGCAAAAAAAAAAAAAUUAAAAAGAAAUAAGAAUGGGGAAGGGUGCUGAGGUUGGAAGGAGGGAACAGAGGGCAGGAAGCUGCAGGUAUUAAGCAUCAGCUAAACAAUUCCUAUUGACUCUGGGCUUCAGUGCACUAAUAAGAAGGACUGCACGCACUUGUGUCUUUUAACACACGGCAAGACACAAACACAGCUGGAGGACUCAAAGAAGUUGAGAUUUUUGUAAGAUUUCUUCAUUGUUAAACUAUCCUACAAAUGUCUGAGAUAUGACCAGGGGGACUGUAAGAGUCUGUGCACCAGUUCAGGACUGUUGCAAUCAAUUUACUUUGCUGUGAUCUAGAGCAGUUUGCUGUUGUAAAAAUAAAUAAG